Molecule: ribosomal RNA, 497 nt
Filed under: uncultured bacterium
Lineage: Bacteria
Description: partial 16S ribosomal RNA
Rfam family: Bacterial small subunit ribosomal RNA
Source: RNAcentral
GAUGAACGCUGGCGGCGUGCCUAAUACAUGCCAGUCGAGCGAACAGACGAGGAGCUUGCUCCUCUGACGUUAGCGGCGGACGGGUGAGUAACACGUGGAUAACCUACCUAUAAAACUGGGAUAACUUCGGGAAACCGGAGCUAAUACCGGAUAAUAUAUUGAACCGCAUGGUUCAAUAGUGAAAGACGGUUUUGCUUUACCUUAUAGAUGGAUCCGCGCCGCAUUAGCUAGUUGGUAAGGUAACGGCUUACCAAGGCGACGAUGCGUAGCCGACCUGAGAGGGUGAUCGGCCACACUGGAACUGAGACACGGUCCAGACUCCUACGGGAGGCAGCAGUAGGGAAUCUUCCGCAAUGGGCGAAAGCCUGACGGAGCAACGCCGCGUGAGUGAUGAAGGUCUUCGGAUCGUAAAACUCUGUUAUUAGGGAAGAACAAAUGUGUAAGUAACUAUGCACGUCUUGACGGUACCUAAUCAGAAAGCCACGGCUAACUACGUG